This 450-nucleotide ribosomal RNA is filed under the name uncultured soil bacterium. RNAcentral describes it as "bacterial SSU rRNA". It matches the Rfam family "Bacterial small subunit ribosomal RNA", at positions 26 to 517 of the family's 1533-position model. The record is from RNAcentral.
AGAACGAACGCUGGCGGCAGGCUUAACACAUGCAAGUCGAACGGUUGUAGCAAUACAGCAGUGGCAGACGGGUGAGUAACACGUGGGAACCUUCCUAGGGGUACGGAACAACUCAGGGAAACUUGAGCUAAUACCGUAUACGUCCGUGAGGAGAAAGUUUUAACGCCCCUAGACGGGCCCGCGUAGGAUUAGGUAGUUGGUGAGGUAACGGCUCACCAAGCCUACGAUCCUUAGCUGAUCUGAGAGGAUGAUCAGCCACACUGGGACUGAGACACGGCCCAGACUCCUACGGGAGGCAGCAGUGGGGAAUCUUGGACAAUGGGCGCAAGCCUGAUCCAGCCAUGCCAGUGAGUGAAGAAGGCCCUUGGGUUGUAAAGUCGUCUUUUACCAGGGACGAUAAUGACGGUACCUGGAGAAUAAGACCCCGGCAAACUUCGUAGCCAGCAGCCG